AAUUUAAACUACUGCACCUAAAUUUAUAUCUUAAUCCAACAUCGAGGUCGCAAUCUUUUUUAUCAAUAUGAACUCUCCAAAAAAAUUACGCUGUUAUCCCUAAAGUAACUUAAUUUUUUAAUCAUUAAAAAUGGAUCAAUUAUUCAUAAAUUAAUGAUUUAAAUUUUAAAAGUUAAUUAAAUUUUAAUAUCACCCCAAUAAAAUAUAUUUUUUUAUUAUAAUAAAAUUAUUCUUUAAAAUUAAAAUAAUAAAUAUAUAAAGAUUUAUAGGGUCUUCUCGUCUUUUAAUAAUAUUUUAGCUUUUUGACUAAAAAAUAAAAUUCUAUUAUAGAUUUAAAUGAAACAGUUAAUAUUUCGUCCAACCAUUCAUUCCAGCCUUCAAUUAAAAGACUAAUGAUUAUGCUACCUUUGCACAGUUAAGAUACUGCGGCCAUUAAAUAAAUUCAUU
This 447-nucleotide ribosomal RNA is filed under the name Dideopsis aegrota. RNAcentral's name for it is "partial 16S ribosomal RNA". Lineage: Eukaryota; Metazoa; Arthropoda; Insecta; Diptera; Syrphidae. The record is from RNAcentral.